GCCUGGUAUAAACUUCUUUAUUUUUAAGUAAUUCUUCCAACUUCUCUACUUGGUGUUGUCGAAGAAAUUUCCUGCAUUUAAAAGAUGUUCCAAUAGUAUUCAACAAAUUAGUGACAACAUCAAAGAAAUUAUUCACUUCCAAUACUUUUUAGAAAGAGCUACAAGUGUUAAUUGUAAUUGAUGAGCAAAACAGUGAAUAUAAUAUGCAGAUGGAGAAUCUUGCAAAAUUAAAGUCUUUAGACCAUUUAUUUUUUCCUUCAUAUUACUUGCUCCAUCAUAACCCUGUCCACGUAUCUUGGAUGAACUUAAUGAGUUAUCCAAAAGUAAAAAAUAAAUUGCAUCCUUCAGUGAUUGUGCAUAUAUAUCUUUCACAUGGACAAUGCCCAAAUAUCUUUCUAUCACCUCCCCAUUUUUGUUGACAUAUCGUAAAACUAGGGCCAUUUGCUCCUUAUGUGAGAUGUCCUUUGAUUCAUCAACCAAUAUUCCAAAAUAAUCACCAUCUAAAUCUUUGAUAAUAGCUUUAGUGGUUUCUUUAGCACAAGCAUCCACAAUCUCCUUUUGAAUAGUUGGAAAAAUCAUCAUAUUAUUUUUUGGAGCAUGACGUAAUAUCACUUUUCCCACAUUCGGAUGCUUAUCUCCAUGAAAUUCCAAAAGUUCAAGAAAAAUACCUUUGUAUUCGGAAUCUUUACUCUUAUCAUGACCACGAAAUGGCAAUCCAUUUCUUAAGAGAAACCUCACUACAUCAAUUGAGGCAUUUAAGCGCAUUCGAUGAUCAUUUUUUACUUUCUUGCUUUGUCUGUCAAAAGACGAUUGAAUUGAUUGGCGUUGAUUCGUCAAAUCUUGCAUUCUAUUGAAACAUUUAUGAUGAAUACUAUAUACUUCACCGACAUGUGCUCUAUAUCUUUCUGAACCUUUAUUCCAACCCCUAAAGUCAUCUUUUGUAAAAGCAUCCCCGACAUGUCCACGACUCUCAAGUUCAUUCUUGAAUAAACAGCAACACAAAUAAAAUAUAAUAUCUACUUUUAUGCUAUACUCCAACCAUUGAGAAUAUGAACCUUUAAACCAAUCGGGAUUGAAUUGAUGCAUUUUGUUCCCAAACUUAGUUUUAGGGAAGUCAUGACCAAUCGGUUGAUAAGGCCCUCUUUGAAUAAAAUAUCUUCUCACUUCAUCUCGAAUGUUAGGACUAUACUGAGAAGUGGGUAUUCUUUCUUUAGGAUCAGUUUCAAGAGAUCCCAACCUAAGAACACUAUUAACAUUUGAAGGAGGGGAAGGAAUUGCUUCUCUUUGAUCUUCUGGAUCUAUUUGUUAAUUAGCAGAUGGUUGACACGAACUAGAACUUGGUUGGCCAUUGUUUAACUUGAUCAAGUAUCUAUCCAUUUUGAUGUUCGGAAAAAUUAUUCCUAUAAAAUUAAAUACUCGCAUUUAUUCAAUCUUAGACCAUAUCCAUUUUAUAAAUUGAAAUCACUCUUAAUCAUAACAAUUCACGAAAAGGGAAAUCACACCCCUUUAGAUUUCAUUAUUCAAUAAGGGAAUCACACAUUCACACCCCUUUCGCAUUUAAAUAUAAGAGGAUCACGAAUCACGAACACUUACAAAUUCACAAUAUAGUAGGGGAAUCACACCCCUUCUAACUUACAAUAAUAUAAAAUGAAACCAUACCAGUUCGUCCGCAAAAUUUAUAAUAGUUUAUCUUAAUCAACUUAAUGUCUCUGUGACUCUGCCCAAGUUUCGAACUUUGGAAGCGAGUUUCAGUGUUUCACAAUGUAAUCUGUCAAAUGACACACAAAAAAAAAUAGUACACUGCAGGUUAAUAGGAUUCCAAAAAUUAGAUGAACAAUGAAGCAAAAAAUGAGGAAAAUAGAAAAAAAUUAUAAAGAUGAAAGCAAAUAAAAUAACUAAGAUUAACAACAAAAUAAGAAAUAAAAAAUAUACCUGCUUAAGGAGUAAAAAAAACUUGGAAAAUCCUUGAGAAAGAGAGCAAAUAAGAUUGAAGAAUCACUGAUAACAGAGAUUCUAAAAUACCAUUCUGGAAUUGCGAGAUUAUAGCGAAGUGAAUCGAGAGAAGAAAGAGGAUCCGGUGAUUUGUGGUUUAGAACUAGAUUAAGAGAGAGGGAGGGAGGAAGAGGGAGACACAAUUGACUUUUGGGGUUUUGGCGUGAAUUGG
RNAcentral lists this long non-coding RNA (2164 nucleotides) under Nicotiana tabacum (common tobacco). Its description in RNAcentral is "long non-coding RNA (NTAB_LNC017071)". The record is from RNAcentral. Lineage: Eukaryota; Viridiplantae; Streptophyta; Magnoliopsida; Solanales; Solanaceae.